Long non-coding RNA from Pocillopora damicornis (cauliflower coral), 1167 nucleotides. Lineage: Eukaryota; Metazoa; Cnidaria; Anthozoa; Scleractinia; Pocilloporidae. The record is from RefSeq and is a predicted model, not a curated record.
UUAAGAUAACGCAAGAACCGAGUUUUGCGCCAUUUUCAUUUCUUGCGCUUAAGUAAAUGGAUGUGAGGUUUUCAGUCGAAGGUGAGAGAGGAGACAUGAACUGAACCGCCAAAGGCUACGAAACAUACGAAUGGGGAUACAGGUCUCGUGUUGGUCAGGAGCCGAAUGAGUCAGUCUUCGGAAAGGGAAUGGCGCUGCAAAUCAGUUCCGUGACAUUUUUUCAAUUUGCGGUUGUUACAGAGUACAGACAAACAUUUCUGCCCGAAUUUUAGGUCCUCGAAUCUUCGAAAACAUCAGAAAUACUGAAGAAUGACUAAUCAUUGGAUUGGAUUCGCAAGGAUCCGCAAAGACCUUGUGUUUUUGGGCUAUUGGUCAAGCAGUGUUUAAUAGGAACCGAAUGAAGCGUGUACCCAAAGGCCAAUCUGUUUUCACAGUCGUAACAUGAAAUAAUUUAGCUUCGUGCCAAACAGUGGUAGAAGGUUGCUGGUUGGCAAACUUCCUAGAGGCCAGUUUGGCAGUGAUAGCGGCCUGAAGAAGGAGCAGCACUAAAGAGGACAGUCAAAGAACCUGCAAAUGAAAGCAAUAAAAGAUCAGAGUCAAGUUUUGAAUUUCUGGCUUGACGACGAAGGUAAGGAGAUUUGCGUUAUUUUAUUUCUAAUCCCCAAAAUUUAGCCUUUGCUUUUGAGCACUCCGUAGCAGCAUACAAAUAUCUGUCCUUACGUUACGUGAGGGCUCACGUCCAGUUUCUUUAGAAACUACAUUACGAGCAAACUUUCUGUUUGCGGUACAACGACGUGCAUGACUACCUCUACAUGUGACAAUUGCUUCUCAAGGAAUUUCUACUUGUUGGCAAAAAACAACAGGCAUGAUUUUAACACUGUUCAGAAGUAAAUUUGUUGAGGUACUUCUCGCUCCAGAAAAUGGCGCGAAAACAAGUUUCAAAGCGUUCAGGAAGCGUCAUCCUUAACAGAAACACGUGCGCUUGUAGCUAAAUUUGGAAGUGCAUUCAAUUGCAUAACCCAAUCACGUGCAGGAGGCAUGAAAAUGGCGCGAAAAUAAGUUUCAAGGUUGAUAUCUGUAUAAGAUAAGGCGCGAAAAAUAGGCUAGUUUCGAACUGUUUGUGCGAGAAAGUCUGGUAACUAAUUAUUAGCACCAAACCGAGGCUGA